Long non-coding RNA from Suricata suricatta (meerkat), 766 nucleotides. RefSeq lists it as uncharacterized. The record is from RefSeq and is a predicted model, not a curated record. The transcript has 4 exons. Lineage: Eukaryota; Metazoa; Chordata; Mammalia; Carnivora; Herpestidae.
UCCCUAGGUGUAAAGCCUUGAGCUGAGGGCUGGUAAUGGACUUGGCUGGGAAUCUUGUGUCUGUGGUACCAUGCUAGCUCACUUAGGAGCGCAGAUGAUUCCCAUGGUUGGGGACCAAAAAGACAUAGUUUGUGGGUCCAGGUAAGCAGUCACUGGCUGUAAACGCAAAAACUCCAGAAAGUGCCGCCAUCCUUGAGAAAAUCUGCCUUCAGACUGACCAACGGGCUGACUGAUCCUUUCCUGAAAGGGAAGUGGGAAACUUUUGCCAGAGGACAAACUGCAGAAGAAGCCAAGAGUCAUCUUUGCUCAGGUUUCUACUGGAAUGAAUUAUUCAGAGGGUCAUUCUAGGUGCUGUAGUGUGAACAGACCACGGGAAGAAACAGCAGACGUGGUUGGGUGGCUCCCGUGUCAUCCACGUGAGGGACCACGCAGCUCAGAGAGAACAGUGUGCAUCCUUGCUGCUCAAAGUAUGGGCCACAGACCAGCGGUAGCUGUAGUGUUUGGGGCUGAGACCCUUCUGAGACCUUCUGAAUCAGGAUCUGCCUUGUAACAAGAUACGUAGGGGGCUGUGGGAAAGACUGACAAGGUCAUAAUCACGGCAAAGAUAGAGGCUACAGUGCUUCGGUGAUGGGCGAUGUGGGAGUCUUGAGUCCCUAUUCAUGUGACUUCCUCGAGAAGUCCCCAUUCUCUGAUCUCAACACACCAAUUCCAUGCUAUGACGUAUUGCUGCUUCAUCCUUUGGACUUAGAUUUGGUGGACCCAACAA